GACGUAGGGGGCGAGCGUUGUCCGGAUUUACUGGGCGUAAAGGGCGCGUAGGCGGCCAGCACAAGUCAGUUGUGAAAUCUCCGAGCUUAACUCGGAACGGUCAACUGAUACUGUGCGGCUAGAGUGCAGAAGGGGCAACUGGAAUUCUUGGUGUAGCGGUGAAAUGCGUAGAUAUCAAGAGGAACACCUGCGGCGAAGGCGGCUCACUGGACCGGAACUGACGCUGAGGCGCGAAAGCGUGGGGAGCAAACAGG
This 254-nucleotide ribosomal RNA is filed under the name uncultured bacterium. Its description in RNAcentral is "partial 16S ribosomal RNA". It matches the Rfam family "Bacterial small subunit ribosomal RNA", at positions 524 to 776 of the family's 1533-position model. The record is from RNAcentral.